This 1757-nucleotide ribosomal RNA is filed under the name oral metagenome. Its description in RNAcentral is "bacterial LSU rRNA". It matches the Rfam family "Bacterial large subunit ribosomal RNA", at positions 1092 to 2820 of the family's 2925-position model. The record is from RNAcentral.
GCCAGGAGGUUGGCUUAGAAGCAGCCAUCCUUUAAAGAGUGCGUAAUAGCUCACUGGUCGAGGAUCUCUGCGCCGAAAAUGUAGGGGGCUAAGCAUGGCGCCGAAGACACGGGAUGUACAUUUGUACAUCGGUAGGGGAGCGUUGCCACCGGGGAGAAGCGACAUUGUAAAGUGUUGUGGACUGGUGGGAAGUGAGAAUGCAGGCAUGAGUAACGACAAACAGGUGAGAAUCCUGUUCACCGGAAGACCAAGGAUUCCUGGGGAAGGUUGAUCCGCCCAGGGUUAGGCGGGGCCUAAGGCAAGGCCGAGAGGCGUAGUCGAUGGACAGCAGGUAGACAUUCCUGCCCCGUUCUUGAACGUUACAACCGAAGUAGUGACGCAGGAGGCUAGGUGGAGCCGGCGGAUGGAAGAGCCGGUCUAAGGGAGUAGGCAGGGGAGGCAGGCAAAUCCACCUUUCCAUAUAAAUGCUGAGACCUGAAAGGGAGCACCCACGGGUGCGAAGCCAUUGACGCCAUGCUGCCGAGAAAAGCUGCUAGGGAGGACAAGGACGCCCGUACCGUAAACCGACACAGGUGGUCAGGCUGAGAAGGCUCAGGUGAGUGGAAGAACCAUCGUUAAGGAACUCUGCAAGUUGACUCCGUAACUUCGGGAGAAGGAGUACCAUCCAGGUGAAGCGAAUGCUUGUGGAGCCGAGGGUGGUCGCAGAAACCAGGCCCAAGCGACUGUUUACUAAAAACACAGGACUCUGCAUAAGGCGUAAGCCGAAGUAUAGGGUCUGACGCCUGCCCGGUGCUGGAAGGUUAAGGGGAGAGGUAAGUCUUUAUAGGCGAAGCUUUGAACCGAAGCCCCAGUAAACGGCGGCCGUAACUAUAACGGUCCUAAGGUAGCGAAAUUCCUUGUCGGGUAAGUUCCGACCUGCACGAAUGGCGUAACGCGUAACGAUUUGGGCGCUGUCUCGACGAUGGAUCCAGUGAAAUUGUGGUACCGGUAAAGACGCCGGUUACCCGUGGUGGGACGGAAAGACCCCGUGGAGCUUUACUGUAGCUUGGCAUUGGUACUCGUCAUAUCAUGUACAGUAUAGGUGGGAGCCGUAGAAGGUAUAUCGUCAGAUGUGCUGGAGGCGUCGUUGGGAUACCACCCUUGUUAUGAUAAGUAUCUAACCGCUGCUUCUGAAUCGGAGAGUGGGACAUUGUCAGGUGGGCAGUUUGACUGGGGCGGUCGCCUCCUAAAGAGUAACGGAGGCGCGCAAAGGUCAUCUCAGGGCGAAUGGAAAACGCCCGCAGAGCGCAAGGGUAUAAGAUGGCUUGACUGAGAGACAGACAUGUCGACCAGAGACGAAAGUCGGUCCUAGUGAUCCGGCGGUACCGAAUGGAAGGGCCGUCGCUCAUCGGAUAAAAGCUACCCCGGGGAUAACAGGCUGAUCUCCCCCGAGAGUUCCCAUCGACGGGGAGGUUUGGCACCUCGAUGUCGGCUCGUCGCAUCCUGGGGCUGAAGCAGGUCCCAAGGGUUGGUCUGUUCGCCCAUUAAAGCGGUACGUGAGCUGGGUUUAGAACGUCGUGAGACAGUUCGGUCCCUAUCCACCAUGGGCGCAAGGUAUUUGAGGAGAGCUGCUCCUAGUACGAGAGGACCGGAGUGGACGCACCGCUGGUGUACCAGUUGUGUCGCCAGAUGCAUAAGCUGGGUAGCUAUGUGCGGAACGGAUAACCGCUGAAGGCAUCUAAGCGGGAAGCCGCCUCCAAGAUGAGAUACCUCACUGU